Molecule: ribosomal RNA, 496 nt
Filed under: uncultured bacterium
Lineage: Bacteria
Description: partial 16S ribosomal RNA
Rfam family: Bacterial small subunit ribosomal RNA
Source: RNAcentral
GAUGAACGCUGGCGGCGUGCCUAAUACAUGCAAGUCGAGCGAACGGACGAGAAGCUUGCUUCUCUGAUGUUAGCGGCGGACGGGUGAGUAACACGUGGAUAACCUACCUAUAAGACUGGGAUAACUUCGGGAAACCGGAGCUAAUACCGGAUAAUAUUUUGAACCGCAUGGUUCAAAAGUGAAAGACGGUCUUGCUGUCACUUAUAGAUGGAUCCGCGCUGCAUUAGCUAGUUGGUAAGGUAACGGCUUACCAAGGCAACGAUGCAUAGCCGACCUGAGGGGGGGAUCGGCAACAGGGAAAAUAGGACACGGACCAAACCCCUAGGGGGGGCAGCGGUGGGAAUUCUUCCGAAGGGGGCAAAGGCCUGAAGGGGCAACGCCGGGGGGGGAAGAAAGGUUUUGGAAUGGUAAAACCGUGUUUUUGGGGAAAAACAAAGGUGUAGGAAACUGGGCACCUUUUAACGGAACCAAAUAAGAAGGCCAGGCCAAACUACGG